Raphanus sativus (radish) is the source of this 853-nucleotide long non-coding RNA. RefSeq lists it as uncharacterized. The transcript has 2 exons. NCBI's taxonomy places the organism in Eukaryota, Viridiplantae, Streptophyta, Magnoliopsida, Brassicales, Brassicaceae. The record is from RefSeq and is a predicted model, not a curated record.
CAUAAUUUUUAAAAUCAUAAACAUAACUUUUAAAGUUUAAUUUUAAUAUUUUAAUUUUUAUGUUAUACAUUAAAAAACUUGAUUAAAUUUUAUAUUAUCUAACACAUAAAUUAAAUAGAACUAUAAAUCAAAAUUUAAUAUAACUUUACCAAACAUAAAAAAUCAAUUAACAAAAAAAUUGGCAUUGACCAAUAAUAUCAAAGUACUCAGAUCACAAUCUCCACCAUUGGAUUAGAUUAAUCCAACAGACCAGAUCUAAUCCCUCAUUAUCUUUCUCUUUCCUCUCCACUCUUUUCUUCUACGACAUUCAUUCUCUACGCUUCUUCAUCUUCUUCUUUCUUUUCUCUCAUCUCUUUGGUUCAUUUUUAUCUCUGCACAUCUCCUCUUUCAAUUUCAUCUCCUCUUCACCACCACACCGUCGGCCUGCACGUUUGUCUCCACCGCCCUCUUUUGAUUCCGUCAUGUCUUCGCCCCCAUCACCACCGUCACGCUCUCACCAGCACCAUAUCCAGAAGAUGAUGAAACAGAAAGAACAAGUGGUGGUGUUACACAGCGGCAUCGCCGGUUAAGCGUGGUGUGGCAGUGGUGCAAAAGCCGGUGGUUUGUUGGUGGUUCGUGGACGGUGGCUGAAUUGUUCUGAAGGUGGCGAUGGUGGCUAAAGCUUUGUGAAGAUGGAGGAUGGUGGCUGAAGCGUAGAUUUAGGUUUAGUUAACUGGUUUAAUUAGGUUAACAUUAAUUAGUUGGUUUAGUUAGGGUUAGAGUAAUAAUUUAUGUAUUAUUGGUUUAGUGUUGUAAACCAAAAUUUAUUGUAAACCGAAUUUAAUUUAUAAAAUAAAAUUUAUUUUAUUUCUAA